AGAGACAGCAGUAGCCGCGGGAAUACAGAGGGUGCAAGCGUUAAUCGGAAUUACUGGGCGUAAAGCGCGCGUAGGUGGUUUGUUAAGUUGGAUGUGAAAUCCCCGGGCUCAACCUGGGAACUGCAUCCAAAACUGGCAGGCUAGAGUAGGGCAGAGGGUGGUGGAAUUUCCUGUGUAGCGGUGAAAUGCGUAGAUAUAGGAAGGAACACCAGUGGCGAAGGCGACCACCUGGGCUCAUACUGACACUGAGGUGCGAAAGCGUGGGGAGCAAACAGGAUUAGAUACCCCUGUAGUCCCUGUCUCUUAUAA
RNAcentral lists this ribosomal RNA (309 nucleotides) under uncultured bacterium. Its description in RNAcentral is "partial 16S ribosomal RNA". It matches the Rfam family "Bacterial small subunit ribosomal RNA", at positions 504 to 809 of the family's 1533-position model. The record is from RNAcentral.